RNAcentral lists this ribosomal RNA (252 nucleotides) under uncultured bacterium. RNAcentral describes it as "partial 16S ribosomal RNA". It matches the Rfam family "Bacterial small subunit ribosomal RNA", at positions 32 to 260 of the family's 1533-position model. The record is from RNAcentral.
AAUCAACGCCGGCGGCGUGCCUCAGACAUGCAAGUCGAACGCGAAAGUUUCCUCCGGGAGAUGAGUAGAGUGGCGCACGGGUGAGUAACACGUGAGUAAUUUACCUCGGGUGGGGAAUACUAACCGAAACGGUGUUAAUACCGCAUAAUGCAGCGGCAUCAAUGAUGACAGUUGUUAAAGCGGGGGAGUUGGAGCAAUCCGACCUCGCGCCUGAAGAGAAGCUCGCGGCAGAUUAGCUAGUUGGUAAGGUAA